GGAGUGCGCAGGCGCGGCCCACCGAGUGGACAUUUUGGUCUUUGUCCGCGGGUCAGGACGGUCUCUUGGUCCACGUGGCGCGUAAGUAGGAGGUGGGAUCUGGGCGUUUUGGGUCGGUCGGGCUGGGGAGGUUGAAGGGUAGGAUUCCCAAUCGUUAGGGCCGCGGCGCGGGAUUGGGGAGUGGGUUUAAGAGCUUCUGGCCUACGUGUGAGCGAAGGUGGGGCCCUCUGAGGAGGGUUCGAGCGUGUGUGACCCUGAGUUUGACCGCAAAGUUUGUCCCGUUGUUUGGAAUCGUUGAGUGAAUGUGGAACUGGUGCGGAAUUGUGUGUGAUUGCGCCUGAGGAGUACAUGUGGAGACCAGCAUUGAGGUGUAACGUCUAAGCCGAACUUCCCGUGUCGAAAAUGCUGAUGACGAUAACGUUGCCAUCUUCCUGGAACACCUACUUUACUUGAAGGUGUGGGGGGGUGUUAGUGAAUAAUUUUAAAACGAUUUUUAUAUAAAACACUUAUUUUCGAUUGGAAAGUACCCUGACUUACUAAAUAUUUUUUAAACAAUAUUUCAAAAUAAUUUUUUAUCGUUGUUACGGGGUUCUGGCUUCAGACUUUCAGAUCCCCUCAUCUUUGGGGUAUUUUAAUGGAGCUGCUAGGCAAAUUCCUAGACUAUCCUUUCACUUUGGGUAGAAGUGGGCAAAAAGCUCAGCAACAGGAAGUCAGAGGUUGUAGAUAAAGUACAGUUAUCCUCUUUGAAAAAAACUCAGUAGUUGAGAUGCUCGUACGAUGUAUAAAUUUUGUGCCAUAAUGAAGAAAAAUAACUUCUGGCUGGUAAUUAUUAUUAUUACUUUUUGCGGUGCUGGUGAUGGAACCCAGGGUCUGUUCACUCUAGGCCAGCGCUAGCGCUCUUAGGAGACUAGAUCUCAUCCCUUAAGAUGUUUUUAAUAGACUUCAUCCGCAGUCACCUUUCGUGUAACUGUAUAUGAUACGAGUUAAUAAUUUGGUACCAAAUUAAGAUUUCCAAACGAAUAGACUAGAGAUAUAAUUGAAGAAAAUGACUGUUUUACAAUAGCAACAAAUUAAAACACUAAAAAAUAUAAGAAAUGUUCAAAUUAUUAGAAAAUAACUUUAAAAUGCUACUAAGGGGUGUUACCUAAGAUGUGAACAAAAUAGAAAUACCACCUUACCUAAAGUAGUGUGGAGGCCUAGGGACUUAGCCCCGUGGUAGAGUGUAUGCCCAGCAUGUGCAAAGACCUCUGCAUUCAGUCCCCAGCACCACACAGUAAGUUUAUUAAUGUCCUGUAAUAUCAACGAAAGUAUUGACAGGCUUGUUCAACUGCGUUAAGCUGAUUUUAUACUUCAUUUGGAAAAACAGACAAGCAACAAUAGGCCACUGAAAAUCUGAGGGUGUGGGAGGUGGGAUUCAGCCCUAGCACUUUAAACAGUUUCAAGGCUGGUUUUGUGGCUCAGUGGCAGAGCACUUGCCUGAAUCCCUGGGUUCCAGCCCCAGGACUGCAAAAAAGGGAAAAUAACACCAAUUACAAAAAAAAAAAGGUGGGGGGAGGAAGAAAGAAACAUUCAGAAAUUAAAAUGGUAUUGGCAUGAGUACAGCCUGUGAAGGCAAUGUUUACAAUAACUACUACCAGGUAGGAGAUUAUACAACAAAACAUGCAGCUGUACAAAACAAUGGGGAGGAAGCUUUCUCUAUAUUUACACUGAAAUUACAAAAUUAGUUAAGUGAAAAAGUAUAGAAUGUAGAGUGUGCUUUAUUUGCAGUAAAAAUACUGGGUAUCUUUGAAUUUCCGUUUUUAAAAAAGAGCUGGGCGUGGUGUUAACAUGCCUGUCAUCCCAGUGAUUUGGGAGGUUGAGGCAGUAGGAUUGGAAGUUCAAGGCCAGCCUCAGCAAUUUGGACUCAGCAAUUUAGUGAGACCGUCUCAAAAAUAAAAACUGGAAUGGACGGGAUGGAGCUCAGUGGUAAAGCUCCCCUGGGUUCAAUUCCCAGUACCAAAAAAAAAAACAAAAAAAAAACCAAACCUAAUAAUCUAUUUGUGUUGUGUGUAGGGGUACUGUAAUAAAUAAUGCGAAGGCAACAGUACCUCUUUGCUUCUUUUAUAAAACUGUGUAAUGUAGAAUACAUUCUAAGGGCUUUUUAAAGAAGGACAUCAGAGGGCUGGGGUUGUGGCUCAGUGGUAGAGUACUUACCUAGCAUGCAUAAGGCACUGAGUUUGAGCCCUAGCACCACAUAAGAAAAACUAGAAAGGGCUGGGGUUGUGCAGAUAUCAAUGGAGAAUACUUGCCUCACAAGCGUGAGGCCCUGGGUUUGAUCCUCAGCACCACAUAAAAAUAAAUAAGCAAAAUAAAGGUAUUUUGUCCAUCUACAACUAAAAAAAUUUUAUAAAAAUAGAGAUAUUGUGUUCAUCUACAACUAAAAAAAUUUAAAAAGGACAUCAGAUUUCCUGUGUUAACUCCUCCCUCUGCCACUUUGUACCUCAGUGACUUUGGCAGGUACUUAGACCUUAUGACUCAGUUUCUUUUUUUUAAUAUUUACUUAUUUUUUUAUUUUUAUUGAUUUCUUACAUACAUGACAAUAGUGGAAGACUCAGUUUCUUACCUGGUAAUAUAGAAACAGAAGAAUCUGAUUCACAGUGGUUUUGCAAGUCAAAAAGUUGAUAUAUAAAAUUCUAAGAAUAGAUUUAAUUUAAUAAUAGUAUUUACUAAUUUUUUUUUUGUGUGUGUGUGCGUGCGCAUAUGUGGUUAUGGGGGUUAAACUAUGGUUUUGCCCAUACAAGGCAUGCACUCUGCUACUGAGUUACAUUUCUAGUACUAGUGCUAUUAUUAUUUGUUGUCUGCAGGAAAAUUUAGGAACUUUCUCAAAAAUAGUAUAACCAUUUGCACUGUUUAUGGUAGAAAUUUCUGAAAUAUAAAUGCGAUUUUCUAACUUCUGUAUCUUAGAAUUUUUACCUUUUUUGUUGUUGUUUUGGGGCAUUUCCUCUUAGUUGGAAUGAAAAAAUGAGAAUUGUGUUCAAGUGCUCAUCUUUAGAAGUUCAUCUACCUCCUUCAUGAAACUUCUUUGAUCACUAAGUGUUACCUUCAUGUUUGUAAUCCUGAAUUUCUGGUAUUUUUAGAAAAUUCUAAAGGUAGUUCAUUUUUGGCCAUAAUACACAGGAGCUGAUCUUUUCUUUUCCCUCCCUCCCUUUCUUUGUUUCUUUCUCUUUCUUUCUUCUUCCUUUCCUUGUUCCUUUUUCUUUUCCCUUUUUCUUUCCCUUUCCCUUUUCUUUCCUCCCGCCCCCUCCCUCCCUCCCUCCUUCCUUCCUUCCUUCCUCUCUUUCUCUCUCUUUCCUUUCUUCCCUCCCUACCGUAAUUGAACUCAGGGGCACUCAACCACUGAGCCACAUCCCCAGCCUUAUUUUGUAUUUAAACACAGGGUCUUACUGAGUUGCUAAGUGCCUCCUGCCAUUGCUGAGUCUAAUGUUGAACUCUCAGUCCUCCUUCUCAUUCUCCUGAACCGCUGGAUGACAGGCAUGCGCUACACCAGGCUAGGAGUUGAUCUUGAAUACUUCAUAUAGCAUUGUAUCAGGAGAGGUGUACUAUUGUGGCUGGUCCACCAUUGUUGACUAUACUUUUCCCUUUAUGAUCAGAUGUUUGUCUGUGGUUUUACUUUGGUAAAUCAUUUAACUGAUGGUUUUAGCAACAGUAAGUGAUCCUUGGCUGAGUCAGUAAUUUCUGUAGAGCUUGUAAAGUGAUUUUACAGUAUUUUUUUCUAGGUCUUUAUAUUUAUUUGAUUGUUACCUCAAAUUUUUCCUGGGUUUUUCUUUUUUAAGCAAUAUUAUUUGCAGAGCUGGAUAUUGAACCUAGGACCUCACACAUUCUAGUUAGUGCUCUACCAGUGGCUAUACCCAGCCCUAAACAUGAUUUUAACCCAUUAUAUCCUAUCAUUCUAUAUAUAGGAUACUUAUAAAAAAAAACUUCAAUUGGGUAACAGUUAUACCACCUAUGGUCACUUUGAAAUAAAUGUUAUGUUUUUAGAGUUCUUUUGAGAAAAGAAGUAGAUGAGUGAUUAGAGCAUUUCAUAUAUGUAUAGAAAAUAUGUUUAAAAAAAUUUAAGGUAUUUAAUGAUGUGUAUGGCAUUUUUUGACUUUACAGUCCAGGAUAUAUCUUUUACUGCCCCUUUUUUUUUUUUGUUGGGGUUCUGGAGUGCUUUACUACUGAGAUUUUUAGGCCUUUUUAUUUUUAUUUUUUUUACUUUGAGUUAGUGUCUCGCUAAAUUGCUGAGUCUGUCCUUGAACUUAUGAUCCUUCUGCCUCAGACCCAGACACUAGGAUUAUAGUGUAUCUUUAAAAAUAAACUCUAGGUUAUGAUUUUCAAACUAUUCUAGUGCACCUGAUCAGUUUUUUAAAAAAUAUUUACAGAAUUGAAAUCUAGGACUUAAUGGGUUCAAAUUGUAUAGAUUUAGUGUGUUCUAAUAGCACCAGUGGUUUGUAUGGGGGGUGGGAUGUUUUAUGCUUGUGUCAUCACAGUUGAAAUCAGUGGCUGCUGCUUUAGUCUUAUUUUGAAUUGACAUCAUUUAUCCUUGAAAACUUUAAGUAAUUGAAAUCUAGGUUUACUUUGUUUAUAUUCUAUCCUGGAGUGGAAUUGACCACUUUCUCCAAGGAGUUCUAGAGAAUGGCGAAAGAACCUUAAGAUCCAGGGCAAUGUUGUUUCAAGGUUGUUAUUUGUUUGUUUUUGGUGCUGGGGAUGGAAGCCAGGGCCUUCUUGGCAGUUGCUCUAUCACUAAGUUGCAUCCCCAGCCGCUCAAGGCCAUUUUAAAUCAUGAGUCCAUAUUAAUAUUUCUAAUUAAGCUUAAAUGGCAUAGUAUUUUUUUCUGUUAUCUUAGAUCCUAUUGUAUUUUGAAAUUUAAAAUUUGAAGCAGGUUAUAAGUACUUACUACUGAAGAAUGAAGAGAAUGAUUUCAAAAUAACAGUAUUGACAGUAGUAAACCAUAAACAUACUGAAUCAUUAUGGCUUUUUUUUUUUUUUUUUUUUGGUUCUUUCAGUGUAUCUCUUAGAGAUGUAUAGUUCAAAACUUCUUUGUUCUAAAGCCAUUUGAAAUCAAUUCUUUCUCUGAGGAGUUAUGUAACUAAAUUAAUAUACAGUUAACUUCAUUUGUUUCCAUUUGUUUUCAAGUUGAGACUGCUUUUUAAAAGAAUUUGAUUACUUAAAAAAAGUAAUACAUUUCUAUGAUUCAGCAAAAAUACAUCUCAGAAAUAUUCUGCUCUUCUAAUUACAUUCUUCUUUGUCCCAUGUAAGUACAGUUUAUUGACUUUUUUGUUGUUUGUUUCUUGUUUACCCUUCAAGUGGAUUUUUUUGUUGUUGUUUGGUCACAUUUAUUCCUCUCUCCGAUUCCCCACUCUCUUUACAUAUAGGGUAGCAUACCAUCGUCACCUCUUUAUACCUCACUUUUUCCACUUAAAAGUUCUGGGGCUAGGUUGUGGCUUGGUGGUAGAGUACUUGCCUGCACAUGUGAGGCACUGGGUUCAAUUCUCAGCACCACAUAAAUAAAUAAAUGUAUGUAUUGUGUCCAUCUACAACUAAAAAUAAAAAAUAAUUAUGGGGCUGGGGAUGUGGCUCAAGCGGUAGCGCGCUCGCCUGGCAUGCGUGCGGCCCGGGUUCGAUCCUCAGCACCACAUACAAUCAAAGAUGUUGUGUCCGCCGAAAACUAAAAAAAAAAAAAUAUUAAAAAAUAAUUAAAAAAAAAAUUAUACCCUGAAGAUGUCCAUCCCCCUUCCCCCCCCCCCCCCCCCCCCCCCCCAGUACUGGAGAUUGAAGACGGGUACUCUACCACUGAGUUAUAUUCCUACCCCCUUUUUAUUUUAUUUUUUAAUUUUGGGACAGGUGUCUCCCUAAGUUGCCCGGGAUGGCCUCAAACUUGCAGUUCUCUUCCCUCAGCCUUCUCAGUAGCUGAAAUUACUGGUGUGGACCACCAUCUGGGGCAAGAUGUUCUUAUUAUCUCCUUCCCCUUCUUAACUAUGGUGUGAGUAAGGUAUCAUAGUGUGGUUGUAACAGUUGAUUCAGUUAAUCCCCUGUUGAACAUUUGGCUUUCUGAUCUUUUGCUCUUACAAACAAUGCAGUAAUGAGUAAUAUGUGUCAUUUUGUAUUUAGGCAGGACUCUCUCUAAAGUAGAUUUCUUCAAGAGGAAUUGCCCAAUGGUAAGUAUUUAUAUCCCCACCAACAGUGUGCAUUAGCGUCUUUCCCCCUGGAACCUCAGCGUUGGACUUUAGUGUUGAAUAUUUGAUAUUUUGCCAAAGACAUGAAUGAGAUUUAAUUUAUAUUGCUUUAUUACAAGUGAGGUAUUGAGUAUCUUUUCAUAAUUGUCUGUUCAUACCCUUUCCCCCAAUUUUUUUUUUAAAUAUUUUUCUUUAGGUGUAAGUUGACACAAUACCUUUAUUUUAUUUAUUUACUUAUAUGUGGUGCUGAGGAUGGAACCCAGGGCCUUGCACAUGCUAGGCGAGUGCUCUACCACUGAGCCACAACCCCAGCCCCUCCCCAACUUUUUUAUGGAAUGUCUUCUAGAAACUGUGUACACACAAAGUUAGCCCUAUGUGAAAUAAGUUUGAAGGUUUUUCCACCUAAGUUUUUCAUUUUGUGUUUUGAUAAGUUUUUUUGUAUAUUUUUUCAUUUGUUCACAGAGAUUUUCAUUUUUAAACUAUGCAAAAUCAGGAAGUUUUUGUAGAUUUAUCUGCCUUUUCAUUACUAAUCAUAGUCAUCUUUUCCCAUUCUGAGUUUCACCUGUUUUCAGAUUUUCUUUUUUCUUUUUUUUCUUUUUCUUUCUUUUUUUAGUUGUAGUUGGACACAAUAUCUGUAUUUUAUUUUUAUAUGGUGUGAACCCAGGGCCUCACACGUGCUAGGCAAGCGCUCUACCACUGAGCCACAAUCCAAGCCCUGUUUUCAGAUUCUUUAUAGUGCUGUAGUUUAUAUGGAUUUUAUAUAUAAUCCAUUUAGAGUUUAAAAAACAAAAAGGGCUGGGGAUGUGGUACAGUGGUUAAGCACCCUGGGUUCAAUCCCUGGUACCAAGAAAGUAAAAGGAAAAAAUGUUUUUUGAACAAAUGGAUAAACAUUUGUAGGACAUUUCUGAUACAGUAUGAAGAAGUAAAUAUUAAAACUCCAGGAAAACUAUUGACUUUUUAUUCCUGAAUACUAUUAGAACAACUGCUUACACAUUGUACUCAUGUGGCUUAGUUUCAUUAGACAAAGAUAGUGAGUAUUGAAUUCAUGCAGGAAUAAGGGCCAUAGUGAAAAUCUAUUCAGGAACCUGGGUUGGAAUGUGGUGCUAGAGAACAAUAGCAGUCAGUCAUGCGAGCAAAUGAACAGUUUUCCUAUGUGACUAAAAUUCUGAAAGCUAAUUCUUCCUUUCUGUAUGUGUGGAGACUUCAAAUGACUUAGUAUGACUUUGAGAUUUAGGAUUCAAAAUGUUUAUUUCCUAUGCACAUACUUGUGUUCUCUAGUCACCAAGGCAAAAAGUCAUUACUUUGUUCUGUUUCACAGGGCUGCUUCCUUGUGUAUCUCUGCAAACUACAUUUUCCUCAUCCUUCAGAAGGCUAUAGACCCUGAAUCCCCAGGGCUUCUCCUGAGUUCUAGGAUGGUGCUUUGGCCUCAUCAUUAACAUUCUAAUCCUGUGAUUUCCCUUGAAAGCAGGUGAUAAAGAGACCAAACUGUAUGAUCCUCCACUGAAGCAAGAAGAUCCACUGGAUGGUGGGGAAAAAGUAGAAAAGAAGUCUUGUCAGGUGAGGGAAUGACAGGCUGAAGUGCUUUUGAAGACAUUUUCUUAUUCUGUAGGUUCCUGAGGGAUGUUUUCAGUCAUAGUGUGGUUUUUUUUUUUUUUUUCUUUUUUGUUGGGGGGUGGGUAUUGGGUUUUGAAUUCAGGGGCACUUAACCACUGAGCCAUAUCCCUAGCUGGGUUUUUUGUUUUUUGUUUUUUGUAUUUUAUUUAGAGACAGGGUCUCAGCUGAGUUGCUUAGUGCCUUCCUGUUGCUGAGGCUGGCUUUGAACUCAUGAUCCUCCUGCCUCAGGGCCACAUACCCUCUCUCUCGUCUUUGUUCUCUCGUCAACACUUAAUACUUCAUUUUUACUGCCUCUGUUUUGGUUGUUUUCCUUCAGUGUCAUAUCCAGUUUCAUAACUCUGUAUGUGUGUCCUUUAUAGGUCAUAUGUCUUUGUAUAUCAUCUAGUGUUCAUGUUCCUUUUUAUUCCUUGUCUCAUUCUUUCAGUGGUUAAGUGCUUCAGAAUUAUAUUUUAUAUCUGUAGUCUUACUUCAUGUUGCCUUUUAAACAUCUCCCUUGUCAUAGAUCAGUACACUUCUCCACUUUUCUCUCUUCACUUCUGUAUACCUCUUACAUAUGUUGCCAACUUAGAAAUUAUUGGUGCCUGUCUACUACUGUGUGUGUGUGUGUGUGUGUGUGUGCGUGUGCGCGCACAUGUGGGUACCUGAGUAUUUGCUUUGUGAAAAUCCCCCUCCCAUCUUUAUUGAUGAAUACUUUCAGGGCCAGUAAAACUUUGAUUAAAUCAUUUGGGCUUUUUUCUGUUGUCUUUUGACAUAGGUGUAAACAUUUUCGAACGUCAAGGUACAUAGCAAAAAAAAAAAACAACACAAAAUUCCCUCUUGUCUCUGACUCUUAGUCCUCCUGCAGUGUUUCUUUUCAAAGAGGCACACAUAUUCCUCUUUGAGGGAGUCCAUGAAAAACCAGCAUAUGUUAUAUAUCUCUGCCACAAACAUACACAUAAGCUCUCAUUUUUCCUUUUCAUGUAAGUGGUGUUACAUAUUUUAUGUGUGCAGUAUUUUUUUCCUUAGAAUUCUUCAUCAAUACAUAAUGUAUUUAACCUGUCUCCUAUUAAUGGCUGUGUAGGCUAUUUUCAGACUUAUGCUAUUGAAGAUACCAGAAUGCAUGCUUAUUUAUAUUGAUUUGCAGAGAUAUGCAGACAAAACUGCAUCUCUUUUACUACUUAAGAGUAAGUAAAAAAUGUAAGUAAAAUGUAGUAAAAGUAAAAAUUUAGUAAAAGUUAGGUUUGAUUGAAAUAUGCACAUUGUUCUCAAAAGAGAAGUAACCAAUGUACAUUUCUACCAACAUGAUAAAUUUAUGUAUUUAACAAGUAUUGAUUAAUAGGUAUUAGUUACUGAUAGGUAUGAGGUACUAAGAAAAUGUCAAUGAUCAAAGUAGUCUUUUUAUUAUUUUGGAAUCACCCCUCUUGGAAUGCUGUUACUUCUAUUUGAUUGGUGCUUUGGUACCUGUGAUGUUGCUUAUCACAGUUGUCUCAUUUUUUGCUUUUGUCUUUUUUUAAUAUUUAUUUUUUAGUUGUAGUUGGACAGAAUACCUUUAUUUUUAUGUGGUGCUGAGGAUCGAACCCAGGGCUUCGCACAUGUAGGUGAGCGCUUGAGCGCUCUACCGCUGAGCCACAACCCCAGCCCCUACUUUUGUCUUUCUUUAUCAUAAAUCAUCCUCUUAUGGAGGUGGCUUCCAGAAUCCUGGCUUGUUCCUUUCUUCCAACCCUUUAUAAAUUAUUUUUGGAUACUUACAGCUUUUUGCCUUGCCUGCCAUCAUCUUAUCUGUUAAUUGGACAGACAAGUAUCAGAUUUUAUUCUCAUGGUAUCAGUGAAAUCAUGGUAAUAAUCCUUAAUUUUUAUUUACCAUGAUUUCAGACACCCAUAGUGUUCUGAAAAUGUUAAUGAAAAAUUCCAGAAAUAAGCAGUUCAUAAGAAAAUUGCCAUUCUGAGUAAUUGGGUGAAGUCUCACGUUGUCCUGGAAUAUGAACCUCAGUUUAUCCAGUGUAUCCAUGCUGUAUACACAGUUCAGCCUGUGACAGUAGAGAAUGAGAGGGAGAGUUUAUAUUUACAUAACUUUGAAUAUAGUAUAUUGUUAUAAUUUUUCUAUUUUUGUUGUUACUCUCACUGUGAAUAAUUUUGUAAAUUAAAGGAAAAACACAACAUAUUGUAGAUUUUGGUACUAUUCGUGGCUUCAGGCAUGCACUGGAAGUCUGGAAAUGUAUUCUCUGAGGAUAAGGGAAGAUUAGUACUCUACCAAAAUUAGAAAUUUUAUUCCAUUAUUUUCAGAUCCAGAGAUCAUCUCAGACCAGUUUCAUAUUAUGUCUGGAUUAUUUCUUAUGAUCAUUGAGGCCUUUAAAAAGGUAUACUUCACUGUACUCAAGAGAACAUAGACCAUAUGAUUAUGAAUAUGAACAUUUCUUUCUCUGUAAAAUUCUUUGAAUCUUGACCUUUGAUUAUGAAAUUUUCUACUUAUUCAGGUACUGCUUAUCAUUUAAACUUUUGUGGCACACACUGUAAUCCCAGCAGCUCAGAAGGCUGAGACAGGAGGAUUGUGAGUUCAAAGCCAGCCUCAGCAAUGGUGAGGCGCUAAGCAACUCAAUGAGACCCUGUCUCUAAAUAAAAUACAAAAUAGGGCUGGGGAUGUCAGUGGUGGAAUGCCCCUGAAUUAAAUCCCCAGUUACACCCUCCCCCCAAAUAAAAAUUUAAACUUUAAAAAAAUAUGUUUUUAGUUACAAAUGGACAUAGUACCUUUAUUUUAUUCGUUUAUUUUUAUUUGGUGUUGAGGAUCAAACCCUGUGCUUCACGUGCUGGCCAGCACUGUACCAUCCCUAAACUUGAAUUAAGUUGUCAUUAAAAUUUUCCUACUAAUUUCAUCUUUUUUUGAUCAGCCCAUUGAUUGUCCAUCCUAUUUGGUGUUUUCUAGAGAAAUUUAAAAGUCUUCAGUAAAUUUUAUUUAUAUUUGGAUAUCUACAGUCUUUAUUAUAAACUGUUGAAGAGAAUGCUUGUGUUUUAUUUUUCCUGUUGGCAGUUUUGAGUACACAUGAGGUGCUCUUAAUCUAUGAAUUAUUUUGUGAAGGAGUGCUUCUUAAUUAUUAUCAUUUUUUAAAUGGACAGUUUUUAAGAGUAUUGCAGUAAUCUUAUAUACCCACCAUGCAUUGAAUAAUUAAUGUUUUGUUGUUUUUAUGUGUGUCUAUAUCUGUUUUGUGUACCAAAAUGUCCUGACACUUCAUUCCUAAAAAAUUAACUAUAUCUUUUCUAAAAAUAAUGAAAUCCCCCAUAUAACCAAAAUACCAUUGCCACACCUUAAAAGACUAAUCAUAAUGCUCUGAUAUUAUAGAUUAUCUAGUUCAAGUUUCUCAGUUGUCUCCAAAAUAUCUUUUAUAGGUUUUUGGGUUUUUUUGUUUUUUUAAAUUUCAGGAUUAGUUAAGAGAUUUGGUUGUUGCCUUUUUAAAUGGUUACCCCUCACCAUCAUUUUCCCCUGAUAUUUCCCUUAAUAUUUUUAAAAUGUAUACUGUCAGAUGUGCCAAAAGAAAAAAAGGAAAGCCGUUGAUACUAUCCAGCCUUUAAAGUUAUAGUUAGGAUGUUAAAGGACUUUGCAAUAUAUAAAUUUGUAUUUAAAAAAAAUUUCAUCUGCUGGGGAUGUAUGUAUGUUAGUGGUGGAGUACUUGCCUGAUAUGGUCAAGGUCCUGGCUUGAUUCUUUUUUUUUUUUUUUAAUUUAUUUGUUGCCGCAGUUCGGCUGGGCAAAAUAACCAGGAGGUGACAAACAACUUGAAGUUUGAAGCGGGAAAUGCUUUAUUACGGAACAACAGCAGUAUAUAUACCUAACUGAUUACACACAGCUUGUCUCAAUUAGCAUCAUCUAGAUACAGUAGUCAGCCAAUAAGGAAUCCUCACCAUCUUAAUGGCAUUGCCUCACAAACCACUCCUCCUGGCAAACUGCCAGGCGCCAUCUUGACUUGUUUUGCAGUCCCCAACAAUUUGUUAGGUAUAGUUGGACACAAUGCCUUUAUUUUAUUUAUUUAUUUAUUUUUAUGUGGUGCUGAGGAUCGAACCCAGGGCCUCGCACAUGCUAGGUGAGCACUCUACUACUGAGCUACAACCCCAGCUCCCUGGCUUGAUUCUUAGCGCUGGGGUGGGGGUAAGGUGGAGUGGGGGGUGGGAAGGGCAGUAUGUAUGUAUCUUAUAUAAAAUACUUUUAGAAAAGUGAAUAUAAUUGUUAUUAGUAGUUGAGAGAAAGGAUUUUAAAAGAUAAAAUUAGGUCAUUUAAGAGUAUGUUCUUGGAACUCCUUCCAGGAGGAUUAAAAGAUAGGAGAGAUUAGGCUAAGAAGGAUAUGAAGAACAAGAUAUGGAAAAUUGUGACUUACCAUUUAUAUAUUUACCACUCUUGAUCUUCUUUAGGGCCUAUGAAAGCUGAGAAUUUAUUUCUUCUGGCUAUCCAUAUCUUGAGGCUGGGGAUAUAGCUCAGUUGGUAGAGAGCUUGCCUCACAUACAUAAGGCCCUGGGUCAAUCCCCAGCACUAAAAUAAAUAAAUAAUCAAUCAAUCUCUUUCAGGUCUUGAGGGAGUUUUUGCUUUCUCAGACAUAACCUUACAUAAGAUUGAAACUCGACUCCUUCCUUAACUGUUUUCCAUAGGAUUUAGUAACUUGUUAGCAAAUCAUUUCUUUCCCACUGGAAUGUAAACUUGAGGGCAAAAGAUUUUUCAGUUUUAAUCAGUAUAGUUUCUCUAGAGCCUAUACUUGUGCCAUGCACAUAGUAAGGAUACAAAAAGCUAUCUAAUUCUACAGUGUUUUCAUCACCACAAAAAUGCUGUACCCAUUAGCAAUCACUUAUAUUUUUUAAAAAUUGAGUACCUCUAAACUAUUUGGUUUAUAUGGUGAUAUUUAUCUUAAAAACAUACAAUUGAGGGGCUCAGUGGUAGAGCACUUGCUUAGGACAUGUGAGGCAGUAAGUUCAAUCCUCAGCACCACAUAAAUAUAAAUAAAUAAAGGUAUUAUGUCCACCUACAACUAAAAAGUAUAAAAAAUACAAUUGAGAUACUUUUAAAAAUAUUAAUUUACUUUAAAAAAAAUGGGCUGGAGUUGUGGCUCAGUGGUAGAGUGCUUGCCUAGUACUUAUGAGGCACAGGGUUCGAUCCCCAGCAUCACAUUAAAAACAAUGAACAAAUAAAAUAAAGGUAUUGUGUGCACCUACAACUAAAAAAAUAUUUUAAAAAAAUAAAAUGAUUUCAGGUAACUAAACAUUUCUUAAUUAAAACAGUAAUUUUCCGGGCUGGGGUUGUAGCUCAGUGGUAAGAGCGCUUGCUUUGCCCGUGUGAGUUGGGUCCUCAGCACAACAUUAACAAACAAAUAAAUAAAUAGUAAUUUUCCAAAACAAAAAAAAUGUAGUAAGAAAAGGGAAUUGUUUUACAUAUUUGUAAAUAUCUUUGGUUUAAUACAAGAUGGCUGGAUUCUCAUAUUAACUGUUGUGAAAGAAAUAUGCCCACAAAAUCAGGCUUUACAUAGCCCUCAUUUUUCUAUAUAGUUAGAAAGGGGAAAAGUAUUUUAAUAGCCUUUUCAAGUAGUGAUGAAUAUUCUUUGGUACUAUAACCAUGUUGACAAGGGUUUUUUUUUUUUUUUUUUCCCUUAGAUUGUCUGCCAAUGUAGGAUUUGAAACUGUAUAAAAAAUUUAUUUUGUACUAUUGUAUAAAAUCCAGUUUUGAAUAAAUUUAUAGGCAUAAGAUGCUCUGGUGUGCUUUUGCACAGUAUGGUGACUAUAAUAUAUUUUAUAUUUCAGAAAGCUUUAAGAAAGGAUUUUGAGUUUUCAUCCUAAAGAAAUUAAAGUUUGGACUGGGGACAUAGCUCAGUUGAUAAGAGUGUUUGCCUGGCCUGCACAAGGCCAUGGAGUCCCCAGCACCAUUAAAAAAAAGAAAGAAGAAAAGUUUGAGGAGAUUUUUUUUGUUCUUUGAAUAGUUCUUCGAAACAGUUUUUUCAUUUUUUUUUUUUUUUUGAGACGACUUUUACUAAGAUAUUCUUUCCUUGGUUACCCUCUGAAUUUGUCCUUAAAGCUUUUACUACUUGCUACUUGUUACUUGUGAUGAUAUUUGACAAACAAGGUACCUAUACCUACCUAACCAUGGCUGAAAGUGUUAGAGGGAGGUCAUGCAAUUCUUUUGGAGUAAGAAGACCCUGUUCUUGGUAAAUGGUAACACAGUCUCUACGUAGUCUACCUCAUCCUUGAUUCUCCCUUUCUUAAUUUCUUUCUUUCUUUUUUUUUUUUUUUUUUUUGGUACUGGGUAUUAAACCCAGGGGUACUAACCACUGAGCAACAUCUUCAGUCCUUUUUUAUGUUUUAUUUAGAGACAGGGUCUCACUGAGUUGUUAAGUGCCUCACUGUUGCUGAGGCUGGCUUUGAACUCACAAUCCUUCUGCCUCAGCCUCCCAAGCUGCUGGAAUUACAGGCAUGAGCCACUGCACAUGGCUAUUUAAUUAUUUUUAUGUGGUGCUGAGGAUCAAACCAAGUGCCUCAAACUUGUUAGCCAAGCACUCGACAACUGAGCUACAACCGCAGCCCCACAAGGGAACUUUUUCUUAAUGCUUAUUUCUCACAAAACCUUGUUAUUGUUUCAUUAGUGAAAUAUCUUCUUAUAACUCUCUGAUUGGUAUUUGUGUUUCGUUGUCGUGUCUUGCUUGUAUUUCCUCCAAGCUGUUUUUUUUCUUUUCUUUUUUUAUGUUUUCUUAUGUUUUGGCAGGGUUAUUCAAAUGUGUGUGAAAUACUUAUGGCAAUCAUAUUUAACAGUGAUUCACUAAAAGGGGAUCAUAAGUGCUUUUGUUUCUGGGUUAGUUUAAUGUUUAUCAUGUACCUUUUGGUUUCUUCAGAGAAAGAUCCUCUAAUAUCUUGCUCAUAGGUAUGUAUGCAUAUCUUAGUGCCAACAUUGUUUUGGCUUCUGCUGCUGAAUGUCAAAUCUAUAUGUAAUAUGGUGCUGGAAGUCUUGCCGUAUUACAUAUAGGUUUAACCCUAGUGGUUUCAACAUAGUGGCUCUCCCCGUCAUCUCAUUAUAGCUUGAUGGUAGGAUGCUUGCCUAGCAUGCGCAAGGCCAUGGAGUUCAACCCCCGUACCAGGGGUAAAAAAGAGUAUUGAUUUGCUGGGUGCCCUUGAGGAUGCAGCUUAUUUGAUUAAAUUUCUACAAAGAAUUAGUCAACUUGAUAUGAAGAAGUUAGUCCUUGUCUGUUUUGACUGGAUGACUACAAGUCCAAAUGUCAUACUAUCCCCCCGCCCCCGUGGUAGUACAGGAGUUUAAAUUCAAGGAUGUACUACCAUUAAGCUAUAUCUUCAGUCCUUUUAUUUAUUAUUUUCAGACAGGGUUUCACUAAGUUGUUGAGGGUCUUCCUAAGUUGCCAAGGCUGGUCUUGAAAUUGUGCCUCAAUUUUCUCUCUCCUAAGCCUCCCAAAUUGCUGGCAGUCAUACUUUCUUUUAUUUGGCUACUAUCCUUUAUUCCUUUUUCUGAAAUAUUUGUGUCCCUUCAUCUCCUGAUUUGCUGGGUUUCUGUUCUCACGACUAAAAGGCUCAGGGGUCACUCCAGUUAAACUGGGCUAAUUGGGCUGCAUGAAAUAACCACACAGGAGACACAAAUACCUUUUUCUUUGGGGUUGCUGUGAUGGCUCCUCUGACCUUAAAGGUCCGCAGAAAGAGAGCGAGAGUACACGCUGACCCCUUUUAGUGAGAAGAAGCUAUUCAAAUGAGGCAAGGGGUCAGUUUUCAGGGGGCUGAGUCUAUCUUCAUUAUGUCCACUGUCAGUAGGUUGACUGAUACCCGGGUAGGCUAGGGGCACAGUAAGAAGGGGACACACAUGAGGCACUUCCAUGGAAGAUUCUAUCCUAAACAGGACAAGGGGUUAUAUUACAAAGGAACAGGUGAGCAUAGCUUCACCCAUGGGACUGUAGCAAGACACACCCAUGCACAAGACACCGACAUUCGAACCCAAGAAGAGUGGGGAAAGCUCUGCCACAUUUCUGUGACUGAGCACCUCAGCACCCAGCUGGGGCGUAUGUCUCAGUCACAUGUAAGGUUGGUCUCCCACACUGAGUCUUUUUGAUAUUUUGUAAUAAAAAUCAGAUUUUGAUUAACAUUGUCAUCCUCUUAUGCAGGAUCUUUAUAUUAUAUGAGCUUCCUCAAAUAACAUAUUUUAUUGUAUAUUUUUUUUUGUGGUGCUGGGGAUUGAAUGCAGGGCCUUGUGUACAUCAGGCAAGCUCUCUGCCAACCGAGUUAUAUCCCCAGCCCCCCACAGAUAACAUUUUGUUGUGCAUUGAAAAAUCUUUCAUUGUUGAAAAAUUAUGGCUGUUGUGUCCUAUGUCUCCUACAUAUGCUUUUUCUUACAAGUUUUUACCAUUGUUCCUUGUUAUUUUUCUUUUUAAUACAAUUGUUUUUAGUUGUAGUUGGACAUAAUACCUUUAUUCUGUAUAUUUAUUUUUAUGUGGUGCUAAGGAUCGAACCCAGUACCUCAAAUGUGCGAGGCAAGUGCUCUGCUGAUUAGCCACAACCCCAUUGCCAUGUUCCUUGUUAUUUUAAUCUGGUUUUGGUAGGGACCAGUCGUGUGAUCUUUUCCCUUUCUUAAACAUCUCAUUUAAGUCUUAUGGUAUGUGGACUGAGAUAGUCAAGUAACCACAGCUUUCUCAUUUUUAUAUGCUCAUCUUUUUAUCUGUUUGGCAGUUCCUCAUUGUUAGGCUUUUUGCUGAAUUUGGGAAUGGCAGUGUUUUUUCAAGAGUGGUCUAAGCUUUGUGAACCCACAAGUUUAGCUUUUACUCACAUGCCCCCUCUAAUGGUUCUCUUCUGAAAAUUUAAUUAGAGACGUUGUUCAUAUGGAUUUCUUCCUUCUGGGAGAUGGCCUACCAGCAAAAAGCACAAUUUGAUAUUUUAUUGCUGGUAAUGGGAACAUUCACAAAUAAUAGUUGUCGGAGACCAGCUCCAACAGGGGGUCUCAGGAGACGAACGGAUGGUGAGGAGUCUGCGAAAGAGGGGUGGAGAAACAACACAGACACCAAAGUGCAGGUGUUGAUCCCAAUCUUUACUUGUGAAGCUGAUCAUAUAUACUUUUCAUUUUGGCAGGCUCACAGUACUUUGUGGUUACAAAACAGGAAUCAUUAUUCAAAGAAACAAAAUAUUACGUAGCUACAAUUAGAAUAGAAGAAUGCAUAAGCAAGCAUUUGUACUUUCAGUUCGCGUUUUGCUUUGAGCUGUUUCUGCUUAGUUAACUUUUAAUAAUAGUUAGAAAUGUCCCAAUCUAUUGGCCUAUACCUUGACUAUUCUUUCUUGACUUACUGACUGGAACCGGUGCCAUGGUUACGGCAAGUGGUUGACUUGUUAUUAAUUUUAAUCAAACAAGAGUAAGAGCACAAACCAUUGUGCACAGGAACAAGAACAAGUUGCCCAGUACUAAGCACUAAUCUGUCUUCUUAACAUUAAUUUUUCUUCUCUAGAUUUUAGUUUAAUUUCUCAAAAACUUCCUUGACAGGAAUACAGGGAGUUUUUCACUAGACAUUAACAAUUUACACUCCACAGCUGAAUCAUUGCAUUUAGAGCAAACAGAUCCAUUCUUUAGAAGUAGUUGCAUUAAUUGGGAAAGUCAUGUUUUUUCCUUCAUACUUAAUGGUCAUAUGAGAAAUCGCAACUAUACUUAUUAAAGGAACACAAAAAUAAAUCAGCCCAUUCCCAGAAACAUACUGCGCUCCUCCAGAGGAUGGAUGCCUUGCGCCAUCCACCUCAGUAGGGCCUUGCCAUUGCCUGAGUCAGGGGAGGGGCACAGCAAAUAGUGAUGGUAAUGUAAAGGUAAUAUUUAUGAAUGCUCACCAUGCACCACCUAUGAUUCUGAGCAUUUUAUAUAUUAACUCCUCUAAAUUAUCAUUCUUUACUCCAUUUUAGAAAAAGCCUGAGAAGAUGAUGAACAGAUAGAGAAGCAACAAGACUUGGGAGGCAAGUUGUGUUCAUCAAACUACAGACUGAGGAAAAAAGGAUGUGGAUAUAAGAAAAUUGGAAAAAUCCUGUUUGCUCAACCUCAUUUCUUUAAGGAAACAUUUUUGAAGUUUUAGGUUGAAACUGUUUAGACUUAACCAUGAGGGAAGGUAUGUAGUUGAGUCUCCAAUUUUACUAGCUGGAUGUUCUCUACCACUGCUUAUUUCUUAUGGUAAUAUCCCCCUAUAAGUGUAAAGCAGUGUGAAAUGCCUUCAGUAUAAAAAGUGUGAUAUAGCAUCUGAUAGCAGAGCAUUCAUACUGGAGGAAAACCUCAUGAGUUUACUGAAUGUGGGAAAACUUUUACCCACAUAUCACAUUUCAUUGAACAUAGAAGUCAUGCUGAAGGGAAACCUUGUGCUUCUAAAGAGUAUUGAAAAGCCUUUAGCUAGAUGAUAAAAUUUUCUCACAAAUCUUAUCCAUUCCUCUGCAUUUGAGAGGUCAUACAGAGAAGCCUUCUAAAUGUAAGAAAUGUGGAAAUAUCUUCAGUCAAAAGUAAAUCCUUGUGUAUCAAGAAAUUCAUACUGGAGAGAAACCUUGUGAAUGUGGGAAAGCUUCCAUUCAGAUGUCACACCUCAGUCAGCAGAGAAUUUAUAGUGGGGAAAGCCCCUUUGCCUGUAAGGUAUGUGGGAAAGUCUUCAGCCACAAAUCCAAUCUUACUGAGCAUGAGCUUUUUCAUAAUAGAGAGAAACCUUUUGAAUGUAAUGAAUGUGGGAAGGCCUUUAGCCAAAAGCAGUAUGUCAUUAAACAUCAGAAUACUCAUACUGGAGAGAAGCUUUUUGAGUGUAAUGAUUGUGGAAAAUCCUUCAGCCAGAAAGAAAACCUCCUUACCCAUCAGAAAAUCCACACUGGAGAGAAACCUUUUGAGUGCAAAGAUUGUGGGAAAGCUUUCAUUCAGAAGUCCAACCUUAUCAGACACCAGAGAACUCACACAGGAGAGAAGCCCUUUAUAUGUAAGGAGUGUGGGAAAACCUUUAGUGGGAAAUCAAAUCUUACUGAGCAUGAGAAAAUUCAUAUUGGAGAGAAACCCUUUAAAUGUAAUGAGUGUGGAACAGCUUUUGGCCAGAAGAAGUACCUCAUAAAGCAUCAAAACAUUCACACUGGAGAGAAACCCUAU
This 18883-nucleotide long non-coding RNA is filed under the name Marmota monax (woodchuck). Lineage: Eukaryota; Metazoa; Chordata; Mammalia; Rodentia; Sciuridae. The record is from RNAcentral.